Molecule: long non-coding RNA, 1051 nt
Filed under: Chinchilla lanigera (long-tailed chinchilla)
Lineage: Eukaryota; Metazoa; Chordata; Mammalia; Rodentia; Chinchillidae
Description: lncRNA (ENSCLAG00000026393.1)
Source: RNAcentral
CAGUGCUUGGACCGAAGUCACAAAACUAGUAAGUGGCAGUUUUUUAACCCAAGCAACCUAGCUUUGGAGUAAAACAUCUUUUCUUUUAUCCUUUCUUUUCUUUUUCUUAUUAUGUUGCCUAGGCUGAUCCUAAACUCAUGAUCCUCCUGCUUCAUCUUCCAAGUGGCUUUGUUACCCAGCCCUAAUCCAUGUACAUACUCCACUACAGUACAGUGGCCAGGACUCUGGACAAGCAUGCCCAGAACAGAACUGUGGCAAUGGAAUGGUCCCCGAAUCCACCUCCAAACAGUCUCCACAGGGCAGCUGGCCUUCGGACGUACAGUGGAUGCUCAGUAAGGCUCAGCUUUCUCUGCCUCUCUAGCAUCAGGCUCCACCCUACUGUCCCAUUGACCCUAGGAGUGCAGCUGGAAGCUCUGGGCCUCUGCUCCUAUGAGCUGCACUUAGCUUUUGGAGGGUCAGUUUGCAGCAGUUCCAAGACCUCAAGGUAGAGAAGACCAGGGCACUGCAGAUCUGAAGCACCAACGCCUUGUUGGUGCUGCGGUUCUGUCUCCGAGGCCCUGCUGCAACUUGCUAGUGCUGCAAAAUGCUAUGCAGCACCACAACCUGCAUUUCCUUGGACACCGGGCUUUGUCCCCAGCUCAUCGUUCUCAGCUUUCUGAUUCCAGCCACAAGCAUGGUCUUACAGCUAUUUCACAACUCAAGAGAUAAUUAUGUUCUUUGAAAUCUCUUUUGAACCAAUUUUAGCAUCUGCCUGCUUCCCUGUGUGAAUGAGUUUUAAAAAAUCUUUAGCAUGUAUUCCUAUUUAUAACUCUACAGAGUAAUGACUUUAUCUUCUCCUAGAAACUGAGCUGGCACUUCCAUCCCAUCAUCCACAUCCAGGUAUAACAGAGGCAUCUUCACUCUUGGCACCCAUGGAGGGACAUGCUCACAAAACGCACACUCACUUAAUUGUAAAUUGUAAACAUGGCUCCACGGAUAGACUGUGUACAUACCAAAGAACAUACCAAAAAUUAAAAUUUAAAAUAAAUGACAUAAAAAGUAGAGAAAGAGC